UACGAAGGGGGCUAGCGUUGCUCGGAAUCACUGGGCGGAAAGCGCACGUAGGCGGAUAUUUAAGUCGGUGGUGAAAUCCUGGAGCUCAACUCCAGAACUGCCUUUGAUACUGAAGAUCUUGAGUUCGGGAGAGGUGAGUGGAACUGCGAGUGUAGAGGUGAAAUUCGUAGAUAUUCGCAAGAACACCAGUGGCGAAGGCGGCUCACUGGCCCGAUACUGACGCUGAGGCACGAAAGCGUGGGGAGCAAACAGG
Molecule: ribosomal RNA, 253 nt
Filed under: uncultured bacterium
Lineage: Bacteria
Description: partial 16S ribosomal RNA
Rfam family: Bacterial small subunit ribosomal RNA
Source: RNAcentral